RNAcentral lists this ribosomal RNA (253 nucleotides) under uncultured bacterium. RNAcentral describes it as "partial 16S ribosomal RNA". It matches the Rfam family "Bacterial small subunit ribosomal RNA", at positions 524 to 776 of the family's 1533-position model. The record is from RNAcentral.
UACAGAGGGUGCAAGCGUUAAUCGGAAUUACUGGGCGUAAAGGGCGCGUAGGUGGCUGAUUAAGUCAGAUGUGAAACUCCUGGGCUUAACCUAGGAAUUGCAUUUGAAACUGAUUGGCUAGAGUUUGGGAGAGGGAAGUGGAAUUUCCGGUGUAGCGGUGAAAUGCGUAGAUAUCGGAAGGAACAUCAGUGGCGAAGGCGACUUCCUGGCCCGAUACUGACACUGAGGCGCGAAAGCGUGGGGAGCGAACAGG